UAAUUGUCCCCACGUGGAAAUCUACUGAUGGCUUCUGAUUUCAAAAUUGUUGGUUAUUUAUUCAUUUUCGGUGGAGAAAUAAGGAAAACAAAUAUCUAAUGUUUUUUUUAAUUCAGCAAAUAUCUCUUGUUCAAAUCUAACAAUAAUAAAAAUUGGAUAUACUCAACAGAAAAGUUGUCCACAUCACCUACAAAAAUCUGCCAAUGAAAAAAUGUUGUUUUGCCACAUCAAUCAUGUUACUCAAAAACUGCAUUAAAACAUUUCGAUUGAACCCAUAAAAAAAUUGCAUUAAAACAUUUAGAUUGAACCCAUAGUAACUAGACUAAUCUCUAUUGGUCCUCAAAACCCAAUCAAAAAUAAUUUAGUACGGCCCUAGAAAUAAAUCUAUACGGGACCCAUAUGAACUCUAUUGCACUUUAACCUAAUUUCGUCGCAAGCUUCCUGUCUUUCGCUUCUUCUUCAUCGUUACAACUUACAACUUUCUGCAUUUUCUUCCGUUUCUCUACUUUUGAUCAUUUAUUCCUCUUCUUUAAUCCCAUCUACGUGAGCAAUGAUAUCCUUUCAACUUCCUCUCUUUCUCCAACUACAUAAACCCAUCUGUCUGUUGAAGUUUUUUUACCGAACCAAAUUCUACAACCUUCGUUCCCCAAAAACAAUCGAUGGGCAUGAAAUUGGUUCAAACCUCCGGCAAGUCUCCGGUUGCUUUAUAUGUCAACGACGUUGGAUAAUGGGAGUCAUACUAAUCUCAACGGGUCCAUCAGCAUUGGAACUAUACUUCUGUUUGAUCCAUUUCUGGGAGGCCGGAACCGGUUCGAAAGGUGGAGCUCUUAUUGGCUUAGAGCUUCUCAUCAUCGCCGAACAGGUCUGAGUGUUUACCUCCACAGUUUCAUUACAGUAAAAAUUAUCAUAGUUAUGCAGAUUACUUGACAAAAUCAUAUACCUUCUCAAGUAUAAUUUCAGUUUUGUUUAAUACAGGUAUAAAUUAUUUUUAUACCAAAACUAUAAAGCCUAGAUUUUUACUAUGCUGAUAUAAGUGAAAAAAAAUCAAUGAAAAAAACCCAAUGAUUCGAAAAUGCCGAAUGAAAAAUUUGGUUGUAAUAGAUGCUCAAUAUAAAAGAAAAAACUUAUAUUAUUAACGGGUCUGGCGUUUUUGUUUUCGGACAUGCCACUCUGAUCCAAGCGUUCAUCUCAUCACAUCGUGCUCCACGGUACGAGCUUUGAGGAAUUUCUACGCAACGAAAAGCAAAGAGCUACGCAGCAACAAUGUUCUACAAAUUCACGGCCAGUGUCGACAACUCCCGUCAUCCUUUUAGUGGCGACUGUGAAUCCAAAUCGUAUCGGUGGGACCCUUUCCUUCAGCUCAAUGUCAUCAUCAGGUGUUUUCAUCGACAAAGAUUUCAACCCACAAUCGACUACUUCAAUUGUUGAAUUAUAACCCAGAGAUUGCUAAGGAAGUGAAUGCAUAGGAGGAGGUGACUAAAGCUGGGUCGGUGACAAUUGGAAAAAAUAUUUGCUUAUAUCAAGCAAGGAUCGGCCAAGGAGGCUUUCUUGAGUGCAUAGUGACAGUUGAUGAUGUUUAACCAUGAUUCUCCUUGGUAUUAUAUCGUUUGCAGUUAUUGCAAAACAGAGGCCAACAGAAGGCCCUUCUUCGUUUGUGCUCUAAAUGCAGCAAUGAAAACGUAACCGGGGUCAAAAAGCCGUGAGCUAACUGGAAAGCAUGCCUCCGGAUUGGUUGAUAAAUACUUUGAGGCUAAUGGUGAUCUUGGUCCUGACCAUGAGAUGCCUGCAUGUCCCACAAGCUUUGAUCGACACCAUUGGUCAAACACAUAGGUUCAAGGUGAAAGUUUUUGAAUACAAAGGAAGGACUCAGGCUAUAACAGUUAUGAAGGUUGUCUCUCCCGCAGUCCUGCAACCUUUAACAGCCCCAGUUGGAAUCCCACUUGCCACCACUUUUAAAGUGCCUCUAUUUUCUGCAAGUUGAUUAGGGUCCGUCCUUCAAAGACUGGAGACCUAGCUGAUGAAGAAAACGCCAGUACAAGUACUGUGACGAAGCACAGAGAGGAAAACGUGCUAAACUUGAGUAAUAGAGCAUUAACCACUAUCUUAUAGAAUGCACUCAUGCGUAAGAGUGUAGCUUAUCUUUUCAUUUUUAAUCCUGAGCUUUUGCCAAGUUUUUAUAUAUAUUUAACUAUGGCUUUACAUAUUACAUAUUUGCAAGCAGAUGACUUAUUUGAUAUUUCUUAAUGUUACAACUUCGUAUUAUCUGAUGAAUGUAUGCUAUCAAAAGACCAUUAUUUCUCUGUGUAUUUAAAUCAUUUCACAAAGUUCUCCUCUAUGGUUACUUAAAAGUCUCCCUUACUACAAGCUAGCAAUAGUUGCGCCAUUCAAUAUAAAAAGACCAUUAUUUAUCUGUGUAUUUUAUAUGAUCUAUAAUUUAUUAAAAAUGUACAUUUAUAUAAUUAUAAACAGGUUCGACAUACAUUUUAAAUUGGUUUAUAAAAUUUUAAAAAUUCUAAUAAAUAAUUUUAUAAACCUUUGUAAAAUAUAUAUAGACUCUUAUAACUAAUAGACUUUUAGCAAAUAAUCUUAUAAAUACUUCUAACUAGGGAUGGGCGUUUGGAUACCCGUUCGGGAUCGGAUCAGAUAUUUUGGAUUUUCGGGUAUAGAACCCGUUCGAGUAUUUCUAUAUUUCGGGUCGGGUUUGGAUUCGGUUAUUUCAGGUCGGGUUCGAAUAUUUAGAUUUUGAAAAAAAUCUAAAUUCUUUAUUGCUUAAGUUUCUUAAAUUUAAAAAUAUAUCUUUAACUUAACUGAUUUUUACUUUAAUAGAUAGAAUGAUUUAGAUUUGGAGAUAAAAUUAUAUGUAUAUUAAAAUACACUAAUUUGGUUAUUGUUUUGAAAUUUUAGAUGCAAUGUUUGUUAAUGGAUGAAACAAGAAGCUUGACAUGCCUUUAAAGUGAGUAGCAAAUCAUUUUGUCUGUAAUUAUAUGUAUGUUAUCUGAUCUUAAACUAUGUGUAGCAUUAAUAAAAAUAUUUUUAAACAAAAUGUAUAUAUUAGAAAUAUAGUGUCAAGUAUACAUAUGUUCGGUAAUUUUCGGAUAUCCAUUUAGGUUUGGAUAUCAAAUUUCUCCUAAUUCAAUACCAGUUUCGGUAUUUUGUUACUUCGGUUUGGAUUUCUAUUUGGGUUUUUUGGGUCAGGUUCGGAUAUGGGUUCGAAUAUCGGGUAAAAUACUCAACCCUACUUUGAGCUUUGCUAUUUCUCUAUAUUAUUGUCAAUCAAUUUUCAAAUAGUUGAUAACUAAUCUCAAAAGAUUAUAUAUUACUGC
Molecule: long non-coding RNA, 3323 nt
Organism: Brassica napus (rape)
Lineage: Eukaryota; Viridiplantae; Streptophyta; Magnoliopsida; Brassicales; Brassicaceae
Exons: 6
Source: RefSeq, a predicted model, not a curated record